AUUUGGCCACGCCCACCACGGAAGUCUGCCUGUAGAACGAGGAGAGCGAGGCUGUGCUAUGGAGAGCGGCAUAUUGUUUGUAAGAUGAUUCUUCACUAGAGGUUACAUUGAAGUCAGGCAAUGACAGGAAGGAUGGCUGGGGAUUCCAAGAUCUGAUAAAAAAAAAGUUACAUGAAGAUACUUGGACAACUCAUGGGACCAAAGAGCUAUUACACCAGCUCCAGUCUAGAUCCUGUCUCUAUCAGAUGACCCUACACAUAAGGAAAGUUGACAUCGGCCAUCACGAGGACUUCAAAACUGUUCAAAGCACUAUACAAAUAAAUGUGAACAAAAUUGAAUUGUUUGAAGUCAACAGCAGAGAUGAGGAUGCCACACAAUGCAUCCUCUCCACAACAGAUCUUGCAUUACAAAGUGAUAUUGACAUCUUUCUUGGCCUCUCUGAUUACAAUCCUCCCAAUCAUUCCUGCAACACAAGAAGCACACAUUACUUUUAUGUCACAACUCACAGUUUGUCAUUAAAGUCUGGUCUACCUGCUACUUUUAAAAGAUCUUCGUAUCAAAAUUUCUUAAUUACUGGAUUUUAUUAAUUAAUUUUGUUUAGUUACCAAUAUAUUUAUUUACAUUUACACAUUUUUUCAUAUUCAUUCAUUUUAUCCUAAACUAUUUUGCUUGUUUCAUUACUGCAGAUUAUUUAUGUUGGGUGAUGCAUUGUCUUCAUAAGUAGAUAUAGGUAUAUCAGUGGUCUCCUCCGGCUAAAGAUUUUUGAUAAUGUCAUAAGACAAAGUAGCAUUGUGUAAUACUUUAUAUGUUGUUUAAAAUAUGGGUAACACUUUACAAUAAGGUUCAUUAGUUAACAUUAGUUAACUACAUUAAUUAACAUGAACUAAUAAUGAACUGCACUUAUACAGCAUUUAUUCAUCUUUGUUAAUGUUAAUUUCAACAAUUACUAAUACUUUUAUUAAAAUUUUGUUAAUGUUAGUUAAUGCACUGUGAACUAACAUGAACAAGCAAAUAAAGCUUUAUUUAUAUUAACUAACGUUAACAAAGAUUAAUAAAUACUGUAACAAAUGUAUUGCUCAUAGUUUGUUCAUGUUAGUUAAUACAUUAACUAAUAUUAACUAAUGAACCUUAUUGUAAAGUGUUACCGAAAUAUGUUACAAGACAAGUCAGACAGACCAUUGACA
Non-coding RNA from Misgurnus anguillicaudatus (oriental weatherfish), 1184 nucleotides. The record is from RefSeq and is a predicted model, not a curated record. NCBI's taxonomy places the organism in Eukaryota, Metazoa, Chordata, Actinopteri, Cypriniformes, Cobitidae.